Molecule: ribosomal RNA, 231 nt
Filed under: uncultured Staphylococcus sp.
Lineage: Bacteria; Bacillati; Bacillota; Bacilli; Caryophanales; Staphylococcaceae
Description: partial 16S ribosomal RNA
Rfam family: Bacterial small subunit ribosomal RNA
Source: RNAcentral
AGUAACACGCGGAUAACCUACCUAUAAGACUGGGAUAACUUCGGGAAACCGGAGCUAAUACCGGAUAAUAUUUUGAACCGCAUGGUUCAAAAGUGAAAGACGGUCUUGCUGUCACUUAUAGAUGGAUCCGCGCUGCAUUAGCUAGUUGGUAAGGUAACGGCUUACCAAGGCAACGAUGCAUAGCCGACCUGAGAGGGUGAUCGGCCACACUGGAACUGAGACACGGUCCAG